RNAcentral lists this non-coding RNA (245 nucleotides) under Veillonella rogosae. Lineage: Bacteria; Bacillati; Bacillota; Negativicutes; Veillonellales; Veillonellaceae. The record is from RNAcentral.
UUGGAACAAGCAUUAACAUGAUAAAGCCUGGUACGAACAUUGCUAAUGCCCAUUGAGCCCAGUUCAAAGAUACGCCUGUCAAUUUAGUAAUAAAGUCAAGAGCUAAAUAGUUUGGCGCCAUCGCAGUUGCAAAGAAGAAGGAUGUUACCUUUGUAGCAAAGUAACCAUUCUGCAAGAGGUAAGCGCCUGCUUUUUUUGCAGAUUCGCCAGGAUAAGAACCAACCGCUUCAGCGAUGGACAAGUUA